RNAcentral lists this transfer RNA (105 nucleotides) under Neurospora sublineolata FGSC 5508. RNAcentral describes it as "tRNA-Und (NNN) (tRNA-Und-NNN-7-1)". It matches the Rfam family "tRNA". Rfam says of the family: Transfer RNA (tRNA) molecules are approximately 80 nucleotides in length. Their secondary structure includes four short double-helical elements and three loops (D, anti-codon, and T loops). Lineage: Eukaryota; Fungi; Ascomycota; Sordariomycetes; Sordariales; Sordariaceae. The record is from RNAcentral.
GGUCCGUUGGUGUAACGGUCAACACUACCUAUCCUGGCGCGCUGUCGUGCUGGACGCCGCAGAAUGGUAGAGCGGAAGUUACCGGUUCGAAUCCGGUACGGGCCA